RNAcentral lists this ribosomal RNA (372 nucleotides) under uncultured Aeromonas sp. RNAcentral describes it as "bacterial SSU rRNA". It matches the Rfam family "Bacterial small subunit ribosomal RNA", at positions 100 to 477 of the family's 1533-position model. The record is from RNAcentral. Lineage: Bacteria; Pseudomonadati; Pseudomonadota; Gammaproteobacteria; Aeromonadales; Aeromonadaceae.
GGACGGGUGAGUAAUGCCUGGGAAAUUGCCCAGUCGAGGGGGAUAACAGUUGGAAACGACUGCUAAUACCGCAUACGCCCUACGGGGGAAAGCAGGGGACCUUCGGGCCUUGCGCGAUUGGAUAUGCCCAGGUGGGAUUAGCUAGUUGGUGAGGUAAUGGCUCACCAAGGCGACGAUCCCUAGCUGGUCUGAGAGGAUGAUCAGCCACACUGGAACUGAGACCGGUCCAGACUCCUACGGGAGGCAGCAGUGGGGAAUAUUGCACAAUGGGGGAAACCCUGAUGCGCCUGCCGCGUGUGUGAAGAAGGCCUUCGGGUUGUAAAGCACUUUCGCGAGGAGGAAAGGUUGUUGGCUAAUAUCCAACAGCUGUGA